Molecule: ribosomal RNA, 503 nt
Filed under: uncultured bacterium
Lineage: Bacteria
Description: bacterial SSU rRNA
Rfam family: Bacterial small subunit ribosomal RNA
Source: RNAcentral
GUUUGAUCCUGGCUCAGAUUGAACGCUGGCGGCAUGCCUAACACAUGCAAGUCGAACGGAGGUAGGGGCAACUCUACUUCAGUGGCGGACGGGUGAGGAAUGCGUCGGAAUCUACCCUAUGGUGGGGGAUAACACAGGGAAACUUGUGCUAAUACCGCAUAAUGUCGAGAGACCAAAGCAGGGGACCGCAAGGCCUUGCGCGAUAGGAUGAGCCGACGCCCGAUUAGCUAGUUGGUAGGGUAAUGGCCUACCAAGGCGACGAUCGGUAGCUGGUCUGAGAGGAUGAUCAGCCACACUGGGACUGAGACACGGCCCAGACUCCUACGGGAGGCAGCAGUGGGGAAUAUUGGACAAUGGGCGCAAGCCUGAUCCAGCAAUGCCGCGUGUGUGAAGAAGGCCUGCGGGUUGUAAAGCACUUUUGUUCGGGAAGAAAUCAUGCUGGUUAAUACCUGGUAUGGAUGACGGUACCGAAAGAAUAAGCACCGGCUAACUUCGUGCCAGCA